Molecule: RNA transcript, 1948 nt
Organism: Micropterus dolomieu (smallmouth bass)
Lineage: Eukaryota; Metazoa; Chordata; Actinopteri; Centrarchiformes; Centrarchidae
Gene name: endonuclease V-like
Exons: 12
Source: RefSeq, a predicted model, not a curated record
UGGCGCUGCUUGCUUCACGUUGCUCCUAUAUCCGUGAUUAUCAAACAAACAAACAAACUUCCCUUUCCAACUGAGGGUGUUUUCCUCUUCACCAGGCCGAAACAAAUGUCCGCUCCUCCUGACGAAGAUUUGGUGAAGCAGUGGGAGAGCGAGCAGGCCCGUCUCAGACAGCAGGUGGUGGAGGAUGACACUGAGGACUGGCAGAGGUGUCCAGACUUCUCGGGCCUGGAGAGAGUCGGAGGAGUGGAUCUCUCCUUCAUCAAAGGAGAUGACUUCAAUGCCUGCGCCCAGCUCGUGAUACUCAGCUACCCAGAGCUGGAGAUGCUGUAUGAGGACAGUCAGAUGGUGACCCUGACGGCCCCCUACAUUGCUGGCUUCCUGGCGUUCAGAGAAACCCCAUUCUUCCUGGAAGCUUUGCAGCGGCUGGAGAGGAACCAGCCUAAACUUCUGCCUCAGGUGGUGUUUGUGGAUGGGAAUGGUCUCUUCCACUACAGAGAGUUCGGUCUGGCGUGUCAUCUUGGAGUGCUGUCGGGGCUUCCGUGUGUGGGCGUGGCCAAGAAUCUGCUGCAGGUGCAGGGUGUGUACAAGAAUGAGGAGCACCAGUCACAGAUAGCUGCUCUGCAGAAAGGAGGAGACAGCUUCCCACUCACAGCCGCCUCAGGCAAAGUGCUCGGAAAGGCAUUGCGAAGCUCCGACAAGAGCUCUAAGCCGGUGUAUGUAUCUGUUGGCCACAAGAUCAGCGUGGACACAGCUGUACGCCUCACACACUCCUGCUGUCGCUACAGAGUCCCAGAGCCCAUCAGACAGGCCGACUGUCGCUCCAGAGAAUACCUUCGCACACACUUCCCAGCUACAGAUGCAUGAGUCAAAGACUGAGAUUCACUGUCCUCUCUGGUUGAAAGUUUCCAGCUCGUUGCACCACAUCCAGUGUCACUGCACAAGUUGUGAUGUCAUGGUGUACUGACACACCCUGGUGUACACCUGUACAUCACUGCAGCAAGACAUCUGACCACUCUGGCAGUCUCUCUGUGCCUCCUUAAUAAAAAAAGUACAAUAUAUGAAAAGGUGAACCACACCAGAAUCUUUCAGGUUGUCGCUUGCAAACAGGUUAUAUGUGAGAGAUGACCUCUCUUUCCACCUCAAGCUGUGGUGAGCGCACUGGCGCAAAAUGGCUGCCAUGCAUAACCCAGGUUGCAAAUGAAGCAGUGAAUCUUAAGGACUCUGAAGACCAGCAACUACAGAAGACCCACAAAAAAGUGUUUGUGUGAGCUUUUAAAAGUGCAGCUGUUUUAGUCUGGGCCAAGGCACCGUCAGAUUAACUGUAUCUUUUUAUGAACUCGCCCCAUAUUUAAACUGGAUAUGGGUCAGACUGGCUCUUUUUAUAUACUGUUCUCAUUACAUUUUUGGGUCACUCAGCUUUUCUACACUGGGAGUCUUGUAAAUAAAUCAUAAAUGUCCCUGAUCUGCUUCAAAUUGCUGGUCAUCUCUUAAUAUCUCUGGGUUGUGUGAAUUGUUCUUUAUGUUGAAUUAUAGAGUGAAUUGUUCCCACAUGGGUGCACAUGGGAACAGAACACAAUGUAACACACAGUAUAUACACACAGUCACAGGCCAUAUUGUGUACAAUGUGUCGUCACUGAGUGUCUCUCUUUAGAUGAGUCAGACUUGGCAACGGACACCGCCGUGACGCCCAGUCCCAGCAAGGCAAACAGAAAAGAAGGGCAGGGAGGGAAGGUGGCUGACUCUGUAGGGAUGGUGGCCAGGAAUAGAAAUGGUCAGAUGGGGUAGUAUUGAUCAGCAGGAGGGGUUAGAGGAUCAGCUGGUGCAGACCGUAGACUUGUCCCACUUCAGAGGGAUGUACACAGUGUUGAACACUGGGAAAUACUGUAGAUGCAUUAUGGACAGAUUGUGUGUGUUAUUACACUCCAUAAAACAAUUUGUUGAAACCACA